RNAcentral lists this ribosomal RNA (253 nucleotides) under uncultured bacterium. RNAcentral describes it as "partial 16S ribosomal RNA". It matches the Rfam family "Bacterial small subunit ribosomal RNA", at positions 524 to 776 of the family's 1533-position model. The record is from RNAcentral.
UACGGGGGGGGCAAGCGUUGUUCGGAAUUACUGGGCGUAAAGGGCGCGUAGGCGGCCUGCUAAGUCGGACGUGAAAUCCCUCGGCUCAACCGAGGAACUGCGUCUGAUACUGGCGGGCUCGAAUCCGGGAGAGGGAUGUGGAAUUCCAGGUGUAGCGGCGAAAUGCGUAGAUAUCUGGAGGAACACCAGUGGCGAAGGCGGCAUCCUGGACCGGUAUUGACGCUGAUGCGCGAAAGCCAGGGGAGCAAACGGG